UGGGGAAUAUUGGACAAUGGGGGAAACCCUGAUCCAGCAAUGCCGCGUGGGUGAUGAAGGCCUUCGGGUUGUAAAGCCCUUUUGGCGGGGACGAUGAUGACGGUACCCGCAGAAGAAGCCCCGGCUAACUUCGUGCCAGCAGCCGCGGUAAUACGAAGGGGGCUAGCGUUGUUCGGAAUUACUGGGCGUAAAGGGCGCGUAGGCGGCUUCGAAAGUCGGGUGUGAAAUGCCUGGGCUCAACCCAGGAACUGCAUUCGAAACUCCGAGGCUAGAGUGUGGGAGAGGUUGGUGGAAUUCCCAGUGUAGAGGUGAAAUUCGUAGAUAUUGGGAAGAACACCGGUGGCGAAGGCGGCCAACUGGACCACAACUGACGCUGAGGCGCGAAAGCGUGGGGAGCAAACAGG
This 404-nucleotide ribosomal RNA is filed under the name uncultured bacterium. Its description in RNAcentral is "bacterial SSU rRNA". It matches the Rfam family "Bacterial small subunit ribosomal RNA", at positions 355 to 776 of the family's 1533-position model. The record is from RNAcentral.